This 254-nucleotide ribosomal RNA is filed under the name uncultured bacterium. RNAcentral's name for it is "partial 16S ribosomal RNA". It matches the Rfam family "Bacterial small subunit ribosomal RNA", at positions 524 to 776 of the family's 1533-position model. The record is from RNAcentral.
UACGGAGGGGGCUAGCGUUGUUCGGAAUUACUGGGCGUAAAGCGCACGUAGGCGGCUUUGUAAGUUAGAGGUGAAAGCCUGGAGCUCAACUCCAGAAUUGCCUUUAAGACUGCAUCGCUUGAAUCCGAGAGAGGUGAGUGGAAUUCCGAGUGUAGAGGUGAAAUUCGUAGAUAUUCGGAAGAACACCAGUGGCGAAGGCGGCUCACUGGCUCGUAUCUGACGCUCAGGCGCGACAGCGUGGGGGAUCAAACAGG